CGUUACCAAACUGUUGCCUCGGCGGGAUCUCUGCCCCGGGUGCGUCGCAGCCCCGGACCAAGGCGCCCGCCGGAGGACCAACCUAAAACUCUUAUUGUAUACCCCCUCGCGGGUUUUUUUUAUAAUCUGAGCCUUCUCGGCGCCUCUCGUAGGCGUUUCGAAAAUGAAUCAAAACUUUCAACAACGGAUCUCUUGGUUCUGGCAUCGAUGAAGAACGCAGCGAAAUGCGAUAAGUAAUGUGAAUUGCAGAAUUCAGUGAAUCAUCGAAUCUUUGAACGCACAUUGCGCCCGCCAGUAUUCUGGCGGGCAUGCCUGUCCGAGCGUCAUUUCAACCCUCGAACCCCUCCGGGGGGUCGGCGUUGGGGAUCGGCCCUCCCUUA
This 380-nucleotide unclassified non-coding RNA is filed under the name Trichoderma harzianum. RNAcentral describes it as "sequence contains ITS1, 5.8S rRNA gene and ITS2". The stretch from base 173 to 326 matches the Rfam family "5.8S ribosomal RNA". Lineage: Eukaryota; Fungi; Ascomycota; Sordariomycetes; Hypocreales; Hypocreaceae. The record is from RNAcentral.